GUAGGAUUCACUCAGUGAAAAUGAACAUUCUCCCUAGGAUUCUGUUUCUAUUUCAGGCUCUCCCGGUCCGGCUGUCCAAGUCUGAUCUGGGGGCACUCCAGCAGGCCAUGGGGAAAUUUAUUUGGCAAAACAGGAAACAUAGAGUUUCGCGUAACGUUCUUUACACGGCAAGAGCGAGGGAGGGCUUAGGUCUACCAAACCUCUAUUUCUACUAUUUAUCGUCCCAACUAACUCAAAUAGCACUUUGGCAUGCUCCUCCGGAAGAGAGGCGGUGGGUCGACCUGGAGGCCACCCUCAUGGGUUCCGAC
Molecule: non-coding RNA, 308 nt
Organism: Pelobates cultripes (western spadefoot toad)
Lineage: Eukaryota; Metazoa; Chordata; Amphibia; Anura; Pelobatidae
Source: the annotation of a GenBank genome assembly